GGCUGUGCCCGGCGGGGGCGGCCCCCGCCUCCCCUCACAGCGCGGCCGGCGCCCGGGCACCCAAAGCCGGUACAGGUGGUGAUCCCAGAAGGGGAGUGAAAACAAGAGAGGAGAGGAGACUAAUAAAAAAGAAAUGAUGAAGCUCAUUUGAGAAAUCUUUCCUCUGCCUUUGGGGAGAAAUAAUUUGCCUCCUUCCACAAGACUGUUGAUGAGAACAGAAGAAGGAACAGAUGGUGGCACCAUCCUUUCUCAGCACCAAACACUGCCCUGGAGUUGUACAUGGUGCAAAAAAGCAUCCCCGUGUGGAGAAGCAGAUAGCGCUCCUGCAAAGUAUCAGCAUGGUGGAUUUUAUGGUGGAUUUCUACAGCUGAGGGACAACUGCCUGUGA
RNAcentral lists this long non-coding RNA (388 nucleotides) under Calidris pygmaea (Spoon-billed sandpiper). Its description in RNAcentral is "lncRNA (ENSCPGG00000015848.1)". The record is from RNAcentral. Lineage: Eukaryota; Metazoa; Chordata; Aves; Charadriiformes; Scolopacidae.